GAUGAAGAACGUAGCGAAAUGCGAUACUUGGUGUGAAUUGCAGAAUCCCGUGAACCAUCGAGUCUUUGAACGCAAGUUGCGCCCGAAGCCAUUAGGCCGAGGGCACGCCUGCCUGGGUGUCACACACCGUUACCCUCGCGCCAACGUCCAUCGUUGGCCGCGGCGCGGGGCGUGUGCUGACCUCCCGCGAGCGGGGUCUCGUGGUUGGUUGAAAAUCGAGUUCGCGGUCGAGGGUGCCGUGAUGAAAUGGUGGAUGGGCGACGCCCGAGGCCAAUCACGCGCGACUCUGUCCGGCUCGNACUCCUGGACCCCUUCGGCGUCUCCGGACGCUCUUUGGCGAGACCUCAGGUCAGGCGGGGCUACCCGCUGAGUUUAAGCAUAUCAAUAAGCGGAGGA
Molecule: unclassified non-coding RNA, 396 nt
Filed under: soil metagenome
Description: partial contains 5.8S ribosomal RNA, internal transcribed spacer 2, and large subunit ribosomal RNA
Rfam family: 5.8S ribosomal RNA (bases 1-122)
Source: RNAcentral